GGGCAAUUGGUCUAGGGGUAUGACGUCUGCUUCGCACUCUAUUCUAGUGUAUGCUGAAGGUCCGGGGUUCAAUUCCCCGAUUGUCCA
Non-coding RNA from Hypoxylon crocopeplum, 87 nucleotides. NCBI's taxonomy places the organism in Eukaryota, Fungi, Ascomycota, Sordariomycetes, Xylariales, Hypoxylaceae. The record is from the annotation of a GenBank genome assembly.